RNAcentral lists this unclassified non-coding RNA (370 nucleotides) under Hevea brasiliensis (rubber tree). The record is from RNAcentral. Lineage: Eukaryota; Viridiplantae; Streptophyta; Magnoliopsida; Malpighiales; Euphorbiaceae.
GCGAGGAGAGCGUGAACGAGAGCGGGAGGGUGAAAGGGAGCGGUGACGUCCAUGUGACCGGCGACUGUCAUAUCCAGAAGGGGCUCUGACACGAUCUCUGUUGCGCAUUUCAUCUGGUUUUUUCCUUGUUUCUGCAGCAACAACAACAGUUAUCUCCCUGCCACCAAAUUGUUUACGAUUCAUAUGAUAUUGGGCCUCCGAGGCAUCUAAAGGAUCAACAAACUGCACGAACGCAAAACCCCGAGGUUCUCCUGAGUAAUAAUCCUUCGGCAUAUAAACAUCCCUUACUGGCCCAUAUCUUUCAAACGGAACUCUAAGGUCUUCAGGUCUGCAACUCAUGGGAAUGUUUCGAACCAAAAGGCUGCCAUUG